AUCGACCUUUUAUAAUAAAUAUUAAAAAUUUUCUGACAUCUUCUCUGAGGUGAUAAUGCCUUGAAAUCAUUUGGAUUUUGAUAUUCCUUAUAUUUAACAUUAUUUUAGAUAAUAACGGGUCUCUACUUAUUGUGAACCCAUUUAGUUUUAGUUUUUUAUUAACCACCCAGCUAUUAGUAUAGAAGAGGGGCGUGGCCUACGGGCCAGGUUAGCGUGGAAAGACUAUAACGUCCUAGUUGGGGACUAACCCCCCCACCUCUCGGACCCCUCCGCAUAUUAGGCAGAAAGAACUUAAUUUGAUAUCUGGUAUCAAUAAAAGCAUCUAUCUUGAAGCAGCAUGGUGUAAUUUAAAUUUUUUUGUGAACAUGAUAAGGACGCCAUUGAAAAACAAUCUGGCUUCUCUCUCACUCCUCUUCCUCGAGGAAGAACAUAUUUAUACAAGCAUAUAGCUCACUUGUUAACCAAUGCUUUUCAUAAGAUAUUGUAAAUGAAACAAAACUCCGUAAUAUGGGUCCACAAAGGGCACCUGGUGUGGGUAGUACCACUGGGUACUCGCCUAACCUUGGAGGCAGUCAACAUAGGUGCCACAUCACACCAACAUUGCCAAAUGUGCUUCUUGCAUAUCUAGCAUUCAUAUGUAAAGAUAAAAUUAUUAUAUUGUAAUUUUUCAGUUCAUAUGCAAAUUUGCCAUGAACAGUAUACAUUAAUUGUUUUUUUAAUGGGUAUUAUGUUGACUUAAGUGUAAGACCCAGAUGCAUUACAUUUUCCCAGGUAUUGCUGUGAUGUGUACAGUAAUGAUCACCUGAAAUCAUUUACUUUGCAGGUGUGGUUCAGUGCUCUGGCUGUCAACUUCUUUGCCAUUGAAGAUUGCCGGAGUAGGAUGUUGUUAACCCAGGUGUGUUGACAGUUGCUGACGUUGACCUAAGAUGGAAGAAGAUGGCUGUUAUAACUUUCUCUAACUGGACACAAAUCACAUAGGUGUGGACUUGAUGUGAACUAGGCUAAAGUGAGCUGGACCUGAAGUUAACUGGACCUGCAGUGAGCUGGACCUCAGGUGAACUGGAACUAAAGUUAACUAAACCUGAUGUUACUGGACCUGCAAGUAAAGUAGACCUAAAGGACUAUCUGGUUAGGUUUAUCAGAGCCAACCAUAUAGAGUCAUCUGACACCACCAUAGUUUCAUCUAUCAACUGCAGCUGACCCCAACAUGAAGGGCAUUUCAUCCAUCAACUGCAUCAGAACCCCUUUCCCCUACCCCUUUAGAGCGGGGGUCAGAAGUCUGUUCUGGGAAGUACCUUACUCUCGGAGCAUUAUAACUCUGGGUUUAUGGCUCGGACAUUUCUGUAUCUGGGAUAAGGAGCUUCCUGGAGGAGGCGACUGGCCCUAGGAGCAGCAAUUGCUGUAUCUAGGUGUCAGCGUUAGGCUGCUUAGGUUCCCUUUUUUUUUAAGGAUCUUCAGGCGUGCCUCUUCAAGGAUAAACUGAAUCCUAGGACAAGGAGAGCCGGUCCUGAAGCAGAUUGGUACCAUUUUUUUUAUCCUUUUGAGCUGGGGUCAGGGGGCUUCUUCCUAGAGGUGAUUGGCUUUUGGACCAGCAUGCUUGUUUGUCCAGUGGUUCCAGGAGUCAGGAUCCUCUUAGGGGAGAACCUUGGCCCUCGGACCUGGCAUCAGCCAGGUUCAGGGACUCCCCUUUUUUUCUCAUCUUAGGCUCAGUCUAAGGUGUCCUCUCAGUUCAUAGUGGCUGGGGCACUGACAACAGUUUACCUCACCUUAUGAAUCUGUGAAGGGCACCUAAGACUUCUUUCACAGGAGCUGUUGUAUCUCCUGUCUUAGAAAUCCAUUGAUAUCUAAGAUCAGAGAUAAAACCACACUAGUAUGAAAGAAGUCUUAGGUGUCCUUCACAGGUUCAUAGGGUGAGAUGAACUGUUUUCAGUAUCCCAGUCACUAGGAACCUAUGGAGGUGAUCUUAAGGCCAAGCCUAAUUCCAAGAAAAGGGACUAUGUCCCUCAGAACUGGGGGGUGGGGAUUGACCCCCCAUCCAUAGGGGGGGAGAACCCU
This 2055-nucleotide long non-coding RNA is filed under the name Homarus americanus (American lobster). Its description in RNAcentral is "uncharacterized LOC121879689". The record is from RNAcentral. Lineage: Eukaryota; Metazoa; Arthropoda; Malacostraca; Decapoda; Nephropidae.